CCUCCUUAAGAAACCAACUUUCUGAAACAAAAAUUAACAAAGAUAAACCAAACAAAUUCCGGGGUCAUAAUACAAUAUUAGAUAAUACAAUUGUUAUCUUUAACUUGAACAUUCUUAUACAAAGUGGUUAAGAUAAUUGAUCAAGCUUUUUUCAGCUGCAAAUACAACAUGCACUUAAAGCACAAACUUUGAACAUUACAUGGCCACGUGAUCUACCAGGGGAUCUGACCAUUUUUGCCAAAUUAAGCUAGUGAUCAUGGAAAGUAUGAGAAAGAGGCAAACCAAAAUAACCAGCAAUCUGCAA
This 304-nucleotide long non-coding RNA is filed under the name Durio zibethinus. RNAcentral's name for it is "long non-coding RNA (DZIB_LNC001562)". Lineage: Eukaryota; Viridiplantae; Streptophyta; Magnoliopsida; Malvales; Malvaceae. The record is from RNAcentral.